Molecule: non-coding RNA, 206 nt
Organism: Pelobates cultripes (western spadefoot toad)
Lineage: Eukaryota; Metazoa; Chordata; Amphibia; Anura; Pelobatidae
Source: the annotation of a GenBank genome assembly
GCGCGAGAGAUCCCCUGCACCAAGGGCACUGGAGAAAGGUAUGUGCUGAAGGGGUUUUAAACACACACAUUCACGAACAGAAGCAUACACACUAGCUAACAGACACACAUUUACUGACAGACACACACUCACUGACAGACACACAUACACACUCACUUGCAAAACAAACACUCUCACUGACAAACACACACUGACUAACAUACACC